RNAcentral lists this unclassified non-coding RNA (228 nucleotides) under Glomeraceae sp. Its description in RNAcentral is "partial contains 5.8S ribosomal RNA and internal transcribed spacer 2". The stretch from base 1 to 71 matches the Rfam family "5.8S ribosomal RNA", at positions 84 to 154 of the family's 154-position model. The record is from RNAcentral. Lineage: Eukaryota; Fungi; Glomeromycota; Glomeromycetes; Glomerales; Glomeraceae.
GUGAAUCAUCGAAUUUUUGAACGCAAAUUGCGCUUCCUGGUAUCCCGGGAAGUAUGCCUGUUUGAGGGUCAGUAUUAACAAAAAAUCGGUUUGGUUGCAAAUUGUGACGUUUCCGGAGUUUGGGCUUAUCUUAACUUUUUUGGUUAAGGGGCUUAAAAUUACCCUUUUUUGCGCUUUUUUGGCCUUCCUUAAUUUUUUUUUUUUUCUCUUUUUUUUAUUCCCUAAUCU